AUGUGUAUGAAGCUGUCUGCAUCGAGGGAAGAACCCAGCACUGAAAUGACACAAAUGAAAGAAGAGUACUUCUGCUCUGCUGGGUCUGCGACACUACUUAUCCGAGGAGUCCUCAAACAUUAGGAUGUAGGAAGACACAAGUAAAAGGAGAAGAAUGCUGCUCAGCUGAGUCGGCGGUCACACUACUUAUUCAAGAAGCUCUUGGAUAUCAUCGGCAUGUGUGAAGCACAGUCAUUCCGGUAGGCACGGAGUCGUUCCUCGAUGGACGUGAUGACCUGGCACCAAAACCACUUAAUGUGUAUGAAGCUGUGUCUGCAUCGAGGGAAGAACCCAGCACUGAAAUGACACAAAUGAAAGAGGACGUCUUCUCUGCUGGGUCUGCGACACUACUUAUCCUAGGAAUCCUCAAACAUCAGGAUGUAGGAAACUUAUGGUGAGAUGCCAAGAACCGCCAUGAGGGAUAUGCAACCUGCAGCUUCACCAUGCUUUUGGGAGAUCAUGUACUACGUGAACCUUGAGUAUCUACAAGCCAGCUACUUUAAGUCCUUGAAAGGGUAGUGAUGUCAUUCAAGCCAGAUCACGAGACAAGAUCCUGUACAAACUGUCAAUCUAAGUGUUGCGACAUCCCUGUCAGUUCUUUUGGACUGAAUACAUGCUGUGUUUGAAAUGUAUUAUUCGGAUAACCUCCCAUCAGGGAAUACCUUGUCUGUUUAUGACGGAUGGACAUGCCAUUGACAUGCAGUGCACACUUUGAUGUUUUUUAUUUUAAUGUUUUCUAUGUUUUUCCGAUGUUCUUUUUUAUUUAUGUUCUGUUAUAUGCUGGUUAUGUAAGUACUGUAUGGAAUGUAGUGACUGUAGAGCCCAAGACAAAUUUCAACCUGGGGACAAAAAGUUCACUCCACUCUGUUAGCGCAGUUAUGGAUGCACUGUAAAUUUUGUAAUUAACCAAAAGUACGGUGAGAAGCCUGUUUGUGCAGAUGGACCUGCUGGCGGGCCUGUUUACUCAUAGCUAAAAAGCAACAUAUUCUCUGUGCAAAGCACAUGGGCUCUUUGCAAAGGGGUUAAACAUUUUCAUGUGCUGUUUUACAGUGUGCUAUACAAAAGGUAAGGUGAAACUAUUUUUUUGAAAUUCUAUAAUUGUACAGUGUCACUGAAAUCAAAUGGUGCAUUGGUAAAACUGAACCAUUUCCUUUAAUCCCGUUUAGCAGAGCCUAUGUUUGAACUAUACUGUCACCAAUAUUGUAAUGACUGAGUUUUAACCUGUUACUUAAGGCUCUUGGUAAUGUCAUAGCAAUGUUGCUAUGAUGUAGUUGAGUCUUUUCAGUCAUGAGUGAUCAGUCUUGCUGAUAACCCGUCUUUGCAAAGAGGCUACAAAGAUGCAUGUAAAUUCAAUUAAGGUUUUAUUGCUCCAAUGCUAUCAUGUGUUAAUGCUACACUGCUGUGAUUUGCAUCUUUAUAGUAUACUUUUAUGAAAUGUAUUGUUAAUUAUCUUCAUUGUUCAGCAAUAAAAAAAAAAGAUCUGAA
Engraulis encrasicolus (European anchovy) is the source of this 1524-nucleotide long non-coding RNA. RefSeq lists it as uncharacterized. The transcript has 6 exons. The record is from RefSeq and is a predicted model, not a curated record. Lineage: Eukaryota; Metazoa; Chordata; Actinopteri; Clupeiformes; Engraulidae.